This 275-nucleotide ribosomal RNA is filed under the name uncultured prokaryote. Its description in RNAcentral is "partial 16S ribosomal RNA". It matches the Rfam family "Bacterial small subunit ribosomal RNA", at positions 524 to 798 of the family's 1533-position model. The record is from RNAcentral.
UACGUAGGGGUCGAGCGUUGUCCGGAGUUACUGGGCGUAAAGCGCAUGCAGGCGGCUCAUUACGCAUGGCGUGAAAGCCCCCGGCUCAACCGGGGAGGGUCGUCGUGAACGGGUGAGCUUGAGGGUAUCAGGGGCUGGUGGAAUUCCCGGUGUAGUGGUGAAAUGCGUAGAGAUCGGGAGGAACACCUGUUGCGAAGGCGGCCAGCUGGGAUACACCUGACGCUGAGAUGCGAAGGCGUGGGGAGCGAACGGGAUUAGAUACCCGCGUAGUCCCU